UACAGAGACUGCAAGCGUUAUUCGGAUUCACUGGGCGUAAAGGGUGCGCAGGUGGCCAAGUGUGUUAGGCGUGAAAGCCCGGGGCUUAACCCCGGAAUUGCACCUAAAACUACAUGGCUAGAGCAUUGGAGAGGGGAGCAGAAUUCACGGUGUAGCAGUGAAAUGCGUAGAUAUCGUGAGGAAUACCAGAGGCGAGGGCGGCUCCCUGGACAAUUGCUGACACUCAGGCACGAAAGCGUGGGGAGCAAAAGGG
Molecule: ribosomal RNA, 253 nt
Filed under: uncultured bacterium
Lineage: Bacteria
Description: partial 16S ribosomal RNA
Rfam family: Bacterial small subunit ribosomal RNA
Source: RNAcentral